Molecule: ribosomal RNA, 576 nt
Filed under: uncultured bacterium
Lineage: Bacteria
Description: bacterial SSU rRNA
Rfam family: Bacterial small subunit ribosomal RNA
Source: RNAcentral
ACGGGUGAGUAAUGCCUAGGAAUCUGCCUGGUAGUGGGGGACAACGUUUCGAAAGGAACGCUAAUACCGCAUACGUCCUACGGGAGAAAGCAGGGGACCUUCGGGCCUUGCGCUAUCAGAUGAGCCUAGGUCGGAUUAGCUAGUUGGUGGGGUAAUGGCUCACCAAGGCGACGAUCCGUAACUGGUCUGAGAGGAUGAUCAGUCACACUGGAACUGAGACACGGUCCAGACUCCUACGGGAGGCAGCAGUGGGGAAUAUUGGACAAUGGGCGAAAGCCUGAUCCAGCCAUGCCGCGUGUGUGAAGAAGGUCUUCGGAUUGUAAAGCACUUUAAGUUGGGAGGAAGGGCAGUAAGUUAAUACCUUGCUGUUUUGACGUUACCGACAGAAUAAGCACCGGCUAACUCUGUGCCAGCAGCCGCGGUAAUACAGAGGGUGCAAGCGUUAAUCGGAAUUACUGGGCGUAAAGCGCGCGUAGGUGGUUUGUUAAGUUGGAUGUGAAAGCCCCGGGCUCAACCUGGGAACUGCAUCCAAAACUGGCAAGCUAGAGUACGGUAGAGGGUGGUGGAAUUUCCUGU